This 519-nucleotide ribosomal RNA is filed under the name uncultured eukaryote. Its description in RNAcentral is "SSU rRNA". It matches the Rfam family "Eukaryotic small subunit ribosomal RNA", at positions 1161 to 1699 of the family's 1831-position model. The record is from RNAcentral.
AGGGCACCACCAGGAGUGGAGCCUGCGGCUUAAUUUGACUCAACACGGGAAAACUCACCCGGCCCGGACACUGGAAGGAUUGACAGAUUGAGAGCUCUUUCUUGAUUCAGUGGGUGGUGGUGCAUGGCCGUUCUUAGUUGGUGGAGUGAUUUGUCUGGUUAAUUCCGAUAACGAACGAGACUCUAGCCUACUAAAUAGAUCGUCGGCUUACAAACGCCGGCGAGACUUCUUAGAGGGACAGGCGGUGAUUCAACCGCACGAAACAGAGCAAUAACAGGUCUGUGAUGCCCUUAGAUGUCCGGGGCCGCACGCGCGCUACACUGAAGUGAUCAGCGUGCUUUUUCAACCUACUCUGUCAGGAGUGGGGAACCCAAUGAACCUUCUUCGUGAUUGGGAUAGGGGAUUGUAAUUAUUCCCCUUGAACGAGGAAUUCCCAGUAAGCGCGAGUCAUAAGCUCGCGUUGAUUACGUCCCUGCCCUUUGUACACACCGCCCGUCGCUACUACCGAUUGAAUGUUUU